Pseudopodoces humilis (Tibetan ground-tit) is the source of this 971-nucleotide non-coding RNA. The record is from RefSeq and is a predicted model, not a curated record. NCBI's taxonomy places the organism in Eukaryota, Metazoa, Chordata, Aves, Passeriformes, Paridae.
UUCCCCGUAGGGCAGCGGAACCCGAGGCGCCUGCGGGAGCCCCGUGCGCGGAGCCAGGCCGGCCAUGGGGGCGCUUAGCCUCGCCGGCGUGCGCCCGCAGGCCCGAGCCUCUGCCAGGGCCAGGCGGGCACUGUGAAGUCAGAAGUGGUGGGUUGAGCUUUGGGGAGACCUGAAGUUAAGGCUGCAGCUGACAAUGAAGGAUUGUGUGAUGUGAGCAGUUGUCUGGUUUGCUCCACCAUGCCUGAACCUCUAGCAAAUAAUGGGCACUGUGAAGUCAGAAGUGGUGGGUUGAGCUUUGGGGAGACCUGAAGUUAAGGCUGCAGCUGACAAUGAAGGAUUGUGUGAUGUGAGCAGUUGUCUGGUUUGCUCUACUAUGUGUACCCCUUGGUCAGGGGAGAAUGGUUGAAAUUUAUAAGAAGUUGUCCUGGCUGGGCCCUGCUGGAGUUUCAUUGUUCUCCUAAAGAAGACUGAUGGUUCUGUUCUGCUGCUCCCAUGCUGCUGCCUGGGAUCUUCAUCCAAGACACAGCAUUCCCAUCGCCCUGCAACAGCUCUGACCUUCUCUCAAAGCUGUCAGGAGUGAUGAAUUUGUGUCCUGCAAACUUAGAUGCAGGAUGUUACGUUUUUUGUCCUCUGGGUACAAGGCAUGUAACUGAUAGAUUCUGGAAAGUGCUGAAUGUUUAAUGCAGUUGCAUGCUUUUGUCUGCAGGGGCUGCAUUUCCUUCCUGGCAGCUUAUGUUACCCUGCCAUAGUCAUGGAAGCCAAGGAAGCCCCCCUGGGAGCCAGCUGUCAGGUACCAGGAGGAUGGCCUUGGGUGUCAGGGCUUGGUUCUCUCCUGCCACCCAGAAAGCUUCAGUGGUGUGUCCCUGGCAGCCUGUGAAGUGGGCAGGGGCUCUCUGGGAUGCUGCAGCACAGUGUGUUUCUGUAGUGUUUGGUACCUGUUUUUAAUAAAAUUUGAGUAAUGAGCGAGUUCA